GCUUACGGCCAUACCACCCUGAAUACGCCCGAUCUCGUCCGAUCUCGGAAGCUAAGCAGGGUCGGGCCCGGUUAGUACUUGGAUGGGAGACCGCCUGGGAAUACCGGGUGCUGUAAGCU
Ribosomal RNA from Scleropages formosus (Asian bonytongue), 119 nucleotides. Lineage: Eukaryota; Metazoa; Chordata; Actinopteri; Osteoglossiformes; Osteoglossidae. The record is from Ensembl.